RNAcentral lists this ribosomal RNA (496 nucleotides) under uncultured bacterium. RNAcentral describes it as "partial 16S ribosomal RNA". It matches the Rfam family "Bacterial small subunit ribosomal RNA", at positions 28 to 506 of the family's 1533-position model. The record is from RNAcentral.
GAUGAACGCUGGCGGCGUGCCUAAUACAUGCAAGUCGAGCGAACAGACGAGGAGCUUGCUCCUCUGACGUUAGCGGCGGACGGGUGAGUAACACGUGGAUAACCUACCUAUAAGACUGGGAUAACUUCGGGAAACCGGAGCUAAUACCGGAUAAUAUAUUGAACCGCAUGGUUCAAUAGUGAAAGACGGUUUUGCUGUCACUUAUAGAUGGAUCCGCGCCGCAUUAGCUAGUUGGUAAGGUAACGGCUUACCAAGGCAACGAUGCGUAGCCGACCUGAGAGGGUGAUAGGCCACACGGGAACUGAGACACGGUCCAGACUCCUACGGGAGGCAGCAGUAGGGAAUCUUCCGCAAUGGGCGAAAGCCUGACGGAGCAACGCCGCGUGAGUGAUGAAGGUCUUCGGACCGUAAAACUCUGUUAUUAGGGAAGAACAAAUGUGUAAGUAACUAUGCACGUCUUGACGGUACCUAAUCAGAAAGCCACGGCUAACUACGU